UGGAGAUACCAUGAUCAUGAAGGUGGUUUUCCCAGGGCAAGGCUUAUCCAUUGCACUCCGGAUGUGCUGACCCCUGCGAUUUCCCCAAAUGUGGGAAACUUGA
This 103-nucleotide small nuclear RNA is filed under the name Carlito syrichta (Philippine tarsier). Its description in RNAcentral is "U1 spliceosomal RNA (ENSTSYG00000020699.2)". It matches the Rfam family "U1 spliceosomal RNA", at positions 16 to 119 of the family's 166-position model. From Rfam's summary of the family: U1 is a small nuclear RNA (snRNA) component of the spliceosome (involved in pre-mRNA splicing). Lineage: Eukaryota; Metazoa; Chordata; Mammalia; Primates; Tarsiidae. The record is from Rfam by way of RNAcentral.